RNAcentral lists this long non-coding RNA (238 nucleotides) under Olea europaea (common olive). Its description in RNAcentral is "long non-coding RNA (OEUR_LNC014497)". Lineage: Eukaryota; Viridiplantae; Streptophyta; Magnoliopsida; Lamiales; Oleaceae. The record is from RNAcentral.
UGUGUGAAAAUCAAGAAGAUAAAUUCAAGUUAUGAUUAGUUAUGUUCGUCGAAUGCGUUUUAAAACCAAAUGGAAGACACAUCGAUUUUAGAACCCUUGGAAUGGUUGAACAACUUGAUGAAUUUCUUAUGUAUCCGUGGGGACGUAAAUCAUACUUUGUUUUACUAAAUUCAUUGCAAGAAUCACACCUCGAAAGAAUACGAAGGAUGCAACACAAUGACCAAACGGAUUGUAAAUA